RNAcentral lists this ribosomal RNA (305 nucleotides) under uncultured bacterium. RNAcentral's name for it is "bacterial SSU rRNA". It matches the Rfam family "Bacterial small subunit ribosomal RNA", at positions 335 to 658 of the family's 1533-position model. The record is from RNAcentral.
GGCCUACGGGACGCAGCAGUGGGGGGUAUUGCACAAUGGGGGGAACCCUGAUGCAGCGACGCCGCGUGGGUGAAGAAGCGCCUCGGCGCGUAAAGCCCUGUCAGCAGGGAAGAAAAUGACGGUACCUGAAGAAGAAGCCCCGGCUAACUACGUGCCAGCAGCCGCGGUAAUACGUAGGGGGCAAGCGUUAUCCGGAUUUACUGGGUGUAAAGGGAGCGUAGACGGCAGUGCAAGUCUGAAGUGAAAGGCAAGGGCUCAACCCUUGGACUGCUUUGGAAACUGUGCUGCUGGAGUGUCGGAGAGGG